ACUCCUACGGGAGGCAGCAGUUAGGAAUCUUCCACAAUGGGCGCAAGCCUGAUGGAGCGACGCCGCGUGAGGGAUGAAGGUUUUCGGAUCGUAAACCUCUGAAUCAACGACGAAAGGCCCGAAAGGGAGAUGACGGUAGUUGAGUAAUAGCACCGGCUAACUCGGUGCCAGCAGCCGCGGUAAUACGGAGGGUGCAAGCGUUACCCGGAAUCACUGGGCGUAAAGGGCGUGUAGGCGGGACGUUAAGUCUGGUUUUAAAGGCUGCGGCUCAACCGCAGAAGUGGACUGGAUACUGGCGUUCUAGACCUCUGGAGAGGCAACCGGAAUUCCUGGUGUAGCGGUGGAAUGCGUAGAUACCAGGAGGAACACCAAUGGSGAAGGCAGGUUGCUGGACAGAAGGUGACGCUGAGGCGSGAAASUGUGGGGAGCAAACCGGAUUAGAUACCCGGGUAGUCCACACCCUAAACGAUGUACGUUGGCUCAKCGCAGGAUGCUGUGCUGGGCGAAGCUAACGCGAUAAACGUACCGCCUGGRAAGUACGGCCKCAAGGUUGAAACUCAAAUGAAUUGACGGAWGUCGA
RNAcentral lists this ribosomal RNA (580 nucleotides) under uncultured Deinococcaceae bacterium. RNAcentral describes it as "bacterial SSU rRNA". It matches the Rfam family "Bacterial small subunit ribosomal RNA", at positions 335 to 923 of the family's 1533-position model. The record is from RNAcentral. Lineage: Bacteria; Thermotogati; Deinococcota; Deinococci; Deinococcales; Deinococcaceae.